Molecule: ribosomal RNA, 263 nt
Filed under: uncultured bacterium
Lineage: Bacteria
Description: partial 16S ribosomal RNA
Rfam family: Bacterial small subunit ribosomal RNA
Source: RNAcentral
GUCCACGCUGUAAACGAUGGGCACUAGGUGUCGCGGGUAUUGACCCCUGCGGUGCCGCAGCUAACGCAUUAAGUGCCCCGCCUGGGGACUACGGCCGCAAGGUUAAACUCAAAGGAAUUGACGGGGCCCGCACAAGCGGUGGAGCAUGUGGUUCAAUUCGACGCAACGCGAAGAACCUUACCCGGGCUAGACAACAGAGGACAACUUUAGAAAUAAAGUCUUCCCUUCGGGGACCUCUGGUUCAGGUGCUGCAUGGCUGUCGU